GGGUGGGCAGGGCAGGGGAGUUUGGUUGCGUGCUCGCUUUUGCUUUGGGAGAGGUCCUAGGGCGCUUCGCUUGAGGGGGGAGAAGGGAGAGGGCGGCGCGGGGGUUUUAGGCUAGCCGCCGGUGGGGCGGCCGCCGCGGGUUAGGAUCGCCGGUCCCCAACUAAGCUCGGACGGGGCGCUCCUUAGGCUCCCUAAGCUCCGCCUAAAGGAGGCCCCAUCCUUCCUACUACUACCCCAAGUACUACCCCUUCUCCUUCCUCGACCUCGUCCACCAGCUGCCGGAGACGCUGAAGAGGGAGAGGCCGGGGCGGCGGUUCACGGCGGCCGACCUGGGACCAGAGGGUGGAUAAAACCUUCUUCUUGGUGGCACAGGAAGGUAGGGUAUAGUUGUAGUCUACGAUCCUCUCCUUUAGUCGUCACCACGAUUGUACGGGUAACACCUUCUAUACUAUCUUCAACGGUACGGUAGAGUAGACAGAUCGCUCCUGUUCUGUGAACAAUAUAUGUUCGGUCAUUUGUUCGGAUGGGAGAAACCAGAGUCAUAGCGUUUGGGAAGUUAGUAUCAGUCAAGUCUGAACUAUGCACCUAAUUUCUUAGUUGGAAAGUUAGUCCCCUUGACAGUACCCGACCUCCUGUUAAGAGGACUCGCGUCGUUAACGAACCGGAAUCAAGGAACCAGCGGUGUCGCCUAACGGUACUGUAGACUAACCAGGCGUAGGGGUGGUCUUUCGUGUGUUUUACAACUUCUCGGUUACCUGCGACUACUCUGUCUUCAAUAAAGAUACCUGAAACUCCUUCGCGGAGUUCGUUGAGGCUCCCCUUAGCUGCACCUAUUGUAAGUGGUCACCGUGGUCGUGACGUACUUGGGCGGUAGCGACGGUUUGGGCAGUCGCGGUCAGUACACCAGCACCACUGUUUAGACCUCUACAGCCGGGGGAAUUGGCGUCCAAUGAAUGUGUGCUUCCUACUUCUUUAAGGAUAUCGACCGGAGGUGGCCUUCACAUACAGAUGAAAACUACCUAACUCUUUACUAACGAUACACGUAUUAUCAGGGAGAAAUCGUAUCAAGACUAGAAGUAGUCAUUGCAGUUAUCUGAAGACACAAUCUUUGCAGGGAAAAUGUCGAUGUACUGAUGUAGCAACCUGAACACACAAUCUUUGUCGGGACAAUGGCCGAAUGACAACCGCGGGGGUUAAAUUAAACUAGACCAUAACAACAACGUUGUACAACCACGGGAAACGUCGAUAAGAACGUUUUGAAUCGAACGUAACACCAACUCUGGUGCCUCAUACCGGUACAGAACUACUACAAUCUGUUCAAUUAGAUAUAUACCCUGUUACUUCCCCGAGUUGAACAUACAUGAGGGAGACAGUUAUUUACGUUCUGUCACUAGAUUUUGCAGAAUAUGACAAAUAAAUGUCUCCGUCAUGUAAAGUAGUUCGAACGUAACUUUACGUGAACACGCAUUUAUACUCGUUGUACCAAUUUAACUGCAGGCGACUGUACACCUCCACGGAGACGUGUUAGACUAAGGCAUCGGUAGCCUACUCGGCAGUGUGCCUCGCGGUCGCGUUCGGGAAGAGACGUGCGAAGGUCGAGACGGACCUUAACGUUGAAUGCCAUUCGUCCCUUGUACUAACGUGUUCACAGUAAGAACAUGAUGGCCGACACGGUAGUCAGAGGAGCAUACUUGGUGUAGGUUGAAGCGAGUGGGAUGUAGUCUCCAAAACAACUGGUGUCAAUUUUGUACAUCCCACAUAAACUAUCGAACGUAGCAAAGGGGGGAACGUAUACAUAGAGUAGACCC
This 1808-nucleotide ribosomal RNA is filed under the name Triticum aestivum (bread wheat). RNAcentral describes it as "partial small subunit ribosomal RNA". Lineage: Eukaryota; Viridiplantae; Streptophyta; Magnoliopsida; Poales; Poaceae. The record is from RNAcentral.